This 401-nucleotide ribosomal RNA is filed under the name uncultured bacterium. RNAcentral's name for it is "bacterial SSU rRNA". It matches the Rfam family "Bacterial small subunit ribosomal RNA", at positions 355 to 773 of the family's 1533-position model. The record is from RNAcentral.
UGGGGAAUAUUGCACAAUGGGCGAAAGCCUGAUGCAGCAACGCCGCGUGAGUGAUGAAGGCCUUCGGGUUGUAAAGCUCUGUCUUCUGGGACGAUAAUGACGGUACCAGAGGAGGAAGCCACGGCUAACUACGUGCCAGCAGCCGCGGUAAUACGUAGGUGGCAAGCGUUGUCCGGAUUUACUGGGCGUAAAGGAUGCGUAGGCGGAUAUUUAAGUGAGAUGUGAAAUUCCCGGGCUUAACUUGGGAGCUGCAUUUCAAACUGGGUAUCUAGAGUGUGGGAGAGGAAAGUGGAAUUCCUAGUGUAGCGGUGAAAUGCGUAGAGAUUAGGAAGAACCCCAGUGGCGAAGGCGACUUUCUGGACCAUAACUGACGCUGAGGCAUGAAAGCGUGGGGAGCAAAC